RNAcentral lists this long non-coding RNA (3164 nucleotides) under Mytilus galloprovincialis (Mediterranean mussel). The record is from RNAcentral. Lineage: Eukaryota; Metazoa; Mollusca; Bivalvia; Mytilida; Mytilidae.
UUUUUUUUAUUUUGCCAUUUGAUUACAGACUUUCCAUGUUUUGAAUUUUCCUAGGGUUUCGGUAUUUUUGUUAUUUUACCUCUUUUAUAUUUUUAAAUAAUAACCUAAAACAAACAACAACACAUUACUAUAUAUAAUGACUUUAUUUUUGUCUCUUAGUAGCUAUGAUAAAUAUACAAUAUGUCUUGAGACGGAAUGGAAAAUGAUGUGCUGAUAUCUUAUAUUGAAAGAACUCCUACCCUAUCAGGACACUCUAGUUCCUUGAUAAGACCCUACCUUUUGAAACAUGCAUUUAAAAAAAAUUGCUUUCACUAAGACCUGGGAAACAGUGAUCCAUUUCACAAAAAAUCUUACAAAAAAAGUUUGUCAAAAUUCAUGAACAAUUCAGUAUACUUAAAAUUCCUGAAAUGAUGCAUCCAUAAUUUUUCUUAAAACACACUAGGUUAACACUUAAUAAUAUACUAUAACAAUGUGUGUGUAGAAAAAAGAAAAAUUUGAAUAGAUCUUCACUUUAAGUAUCCUAUUACAUAGAAGUGAACAAAAUGGUAUGUUUCCACAACUUUUGGCAGAUCUGUUAAUUGUUGUGACAAAUGCUGAAAACGUUGCGGCAACAAUUAUCUAAAUUUUUAGGUAUGCAAUUACCUCAAAAAUUUACUUGGACAAUUAUGUGUUACUUUUAGAAAAUUUGUACUAUCUGUUCAGUAUUUGGCAGUAAAUGUGCUUAUCAUAUCAAACCUGUCUUCUAACAGGGGGACAAUUUAAUGUUUUUUUUUCUAAUUUACUGACAAACAGUUGCAAGUUUUUUUAACAGUUAGGUUUAAAAGCUAUAAAUAUCAAAAACUGAUUAAUGAACUUUAAACAUUUAAAACCAUCAAUAAUGAUAUCAUACCUUCUACUCUAUGGAAGAUCAAUUUUCUUUGGUAAUGACACUAUAAAAGAACUUGAUCGAUGUUCUUGUAUGUAAAAUGUGUUGAUGAAACAAAAUAAUUUUCAUCUUUAAUACAUAAUUAUUUAAAAUAAUUUUUGACAUUUCCUUACAGAGUUGAAUAACAAUUAUCACCAGAAUAAAAUAAAAUUGUAAAUGAUGGCUUUUUUUGGCCAUUUUCUAAACUAAUCUGUUCACUUGUGCCAAAAUAUAUUAUUUUAAUCUAAAAACUGGAUAAAGUUGAAAAUAUUUUGCUUCAUAAACCCAUUUUUAUACAAAGAAAAUUACAAACAACAAUUUUCAUAUAACUGGUAUAAAAUAUAAUGCUUUUGAUUUUUAAGAUUUGGCAUUUCAUAAUUAUUCAUCACAGUUUGCCGUGGACAAGCAAUAGAAAAUAAAAAGGUAAAGCUUAAUAAUCUUACACCUAAUAUAUUCAACUGAAUACCAAAACUCACAUAGGCAUAUGUAAAAUAAUUCAAGUUUGAAACUUGGAAUAACUUAAAAACAGUUUGUCAGAGAUGAAAAUGUUUGCAGAAUAAACAUAAUUAUAGCAAAUGUUUGAAACUUGGGUUGAUUAAAGCAGUUAGUAAUAUAUGAAACAGUUUGCAGUAAAAACUGAACUAUAGCAAAUUGUUAAUAAAGUAGAAUAACGGAGGGAUUUGUUUAAUAAACACAAUAACCACAACAUCUCUUUGUACAAUGAUAUACAACAAUAUCACAUAAUACAACUAAAAUUACUGGAAUGUUAAAACAAAGCACAACCUUUAUAUCACAACACAUAAAUUUCUUAUCAUAAAAAAUAUUUAUAGUACUGUUGAUUCAUUGUUAUUCAGUGGAUACAAAUUUUCUUGGAUUUCUUGGGUAAAGUUGAACCAUGAAUUUAAGGGGGAGACCUUGGUUCAUGGAGAUAACUCUUUAAAUCAGUUAUGUGUUUGUAAAAGUCAAGUAUCAUCAAUGUAUUUUAAUCAUUUACCUGAAACAGAUUGAAAAUAAUCUAUGUAACCUAGAAACUUAGAAUAUAUUUAUGAAAAUGGUUGACACAAACGUACUGAUGAUUUUAAGAGUUAUUUCCCUUAAACUAGGUCUAUCUCCUAAAGUCUUCAUUGCAGACUUUGCUAAAGCAAUGAAAUUAGAUAUCCAAGAAAAUGCAAAUUUUCCUUAAUCCACGGAAAUUUGUACCCACAAAAAUAAGAUGAAUCCACAGUAUAACCAAUGAAAAGUUUGAGAGUUUUCUCUCUAUAUCAGAUUAUAUUUCACUAGAUCAACCUAUAUAUACUGCUUAAAUCUCCACUUGAAUACCCAUCAAAAACCAAACAAGAACGUGUUCAUAGUACAAAGAUGCCCCAACCAUACUUAGCAUUUUUUAUGUUCGGUGAACCAAGAUAUUGGGGUCAAAACUCUAAUUUAGCAUUCAAAUUAGAAAAAUCAUAUCAUAGGGAAGAUAUGUUCUAAGUUUCAAGCUGAUUGGACUUCAACUUAAUCAAAACUACCUUGAUUAAAAACUUGACCAAAAACUUUAACCUGAAGCGGGCCAGAAAAAAAAUCAUAUUGCCCUUACUGGGGCAUAAAAUGUAUUCCUUUAAAGAUUCCUAACAAGCAGAUCCAUAUAGACAAGAAGAUUGUAUGAAAUUAAACAUCAAUGGUUCAACUUUUGAUUAAAGAUUGCACCUUCAAUCAUAAAGACAAACCUAUCUUAUCAGAGAAGAUUUAACAGCUGAACUAAUGACACUACUAAACACUCCAGAAUGGAUACAAUAAAUUGCUUAAUGAAACUUACUUAAACUUUUGGCAAUAUGUUCCAAUUUGAAUUAGAGAACUUGGUUAUCAUCAAGAAAUAUUUUUAAACGUACCUGUAGUGGGCUUUUGUCCAGUAUACAGUAGAUAGUAUGAUGAGAUACAAACAAGCAAAACAGUACUUAUAAGGAGUAGUUGAUGUACCUCUAAUAGGCUUUAGUGCUGCAUUUCAUAGAUAAGAGAGUGUGACAUCAAGCAGAUAUACAAUUCUUAUAAAGAGUAGUUGAUGUACCUCUAUCAGGCUUUAGUUGUGUAUUUAAUAGAUAAGAUAGUGUGACACCAAGCAGAUAUACAUUUCUUAUAAAGCGUAUUAAUUACUGUAAAAAACUUUGCUACGUAAAAACCCUUUCAAUAAGAUAGGUGGAAAUUAUUCGUAUCAAUAUAUACAAUAAUUGCUUUUGAUUUUAUACUAGAUUUUUCUCAAAGCUCAGUAUAAAAAAUUCAC